This 299-nucleotide long non-coding RNA is filed under the name Vigna radiata. Its description in RNAcentral is "long non-coding RNA (VRAD_LNC002223)". The record is from RNAcentral. Lineage: Eukaryota; Viridiplantae; Streptophyta; Magnoliopsida; Fabales; Fabaceae.
GUUUGAUCUUCUUUUUUUCUGGAAAGAUGAAAACUAGAAAAAACAAAAAAAAAAAAGAAGAUUUUAUUGUGGUUGGCUCUGCAAUGACGUGUGCUCACUCGGAAAGCCCGCUGGCUUUCCUGAUAUCACUUGCAGACACGCACAUGCCGCGGUGCUAACUUUCGUGAUCGUGCGUAGGAUAAGCCAAGUACACUCCCACUCAUCAUACACGUGUACGGUCAUGGGACCGCUCCACAGUGUCCAAAUAUUCACCCGUGGUCCCUCCCACCCAAACCAUCACAAAUUCACUGACACGCCGC